Molecule: ribosomal RNA, 468 nt
Filed under: uncultured bacterium
Lineage: Bacteria
Description: partial 16S ribosomal RNA
Rfam family: Bacterial small subunit ribosomal RNA
Source: RNAcentral
GACGAACGCUGGCGGCGUGCUUAACACAUGCAAGUCGAACGGAAAGGCCCUGCUUUUGUGGGGUGCUCGAGUGGCGGACGGGUGAGUAACACGUGAGUAACCUGCCCUUGACUUUGAGAUAACUUCAGGAAACUGGGGCUAAUACCGGAUAGGAGCUCCUGCUGCAUGGUGGGGGUUGGAAAGUUUCGGCGGUUGGGGAUGGACUCGCGGCUUAUCAGCUUGUUGGUGGGGUAGUGGCUUACCAAGGCUUUGACGGGUAGCCGGCCUGAGAGGGUGACCGGCCACAUUGGGACUGAGAGACGGCCCAGACUCCUACGGGAGGCAGCAGUGGGGAAUAUUGCACAAUGGGCGGAAGCCUGAUGCAGCAACGCCGCGUGCGGGAUGACGGCCUUCGGGUUGUAAACCGCUUUCGCCUGUGACGAAGCGUGAGUGACGGUAAUGGGUAAAGAAGCACCGGCUAACUACGUG